CCUACGUGAUGCAGCAGUGGGGAAUAUUGGACAAUGGGCGAAAGCCUGAUCCAGCCAUGCCGCGUGUGUGAAGAAGGCCUUCGGGUUGUAAAGCACUUUCAGUGGGGAAGAAAGCCUUGGGGCUAAUACCCUCGAGGAAGGACAUCACCCACAGAAGAAGCACCGGCUAACUCCGUGCCAGCAGCCGCGGUAAUACGGAGGGUGCGAGCGUUAAUCGGAAUUACUGGGCGUAAAGCGCGCGUAGGCGGUCUGAUAAGCCGGUUGUGAAAGCCCCGGGCUCAACCUGGGAACGGCAUCCGGAACUGUCAGGCUAGAGUGCAGGAGAGGAAGGUAGAAUUCCCGGUGUAGCGGUGAAAUGCGUAGAGAUCGGGAGGAAUACCAGUGGCGAAGGCGGCCUUCUGGACUGACACUGACGCUGAGGUGCGAAAGCGUGGGUAGCAAACAGGAUUAGAUACCCCAGUAGUC
This 465-nucleotide ribosomal RNA is filed under the name Vreelandella stevensii. Its description in RNAcentral is "partial 16S ribosomal RNA". It matches the Rfam family "Bacterial small subunit ribosomal RNA", at positions 338 to 795 of the family's 1533-position model. The record is from RNAcentral. Lineage: Bacteria; Pseudomonadati; Pseudomonadota; Gammaproteobacteria; Oceanospirillales; Halomonadaceae.